RNAcentral lists this long non-coding RNA (37664 nucleotides) under Setaria italica (foxtail millet). Its description in RNAcentral is "long non-coding RNA (SITA_LNC000919)". Lineage: Eukaryota; Viridiplantae; Streptophyta; Magnoliopsida; Poales; Poaceae. The record is from RNAcentral.
AACAAUUGGGAACCUGAUCCAACUUGAAGAGUUGGUGUUCUGGGAUACUGACAUCAGCGGUGAGACUAUGUCCCAGUUACUUUGUUUCUAGAUAUCUCGUUUCAUUUUGCAACUGUAGACAGAUUAUACACCUACUAUAUGACACGCCAUGCAUACACCGUUAAAAAAAAAUAAUGAAUGUAAGUGAAGAAGAAAAUUUAACACUACCAAAUCACCAGAGUGACCUUCAGAAAACAAGAAAAAGGCUUUGGCUAGUAAUUUUCAGCAAUGUUGAGAAAAGAAAAACCCUGAUAUUUUCACUUUGAGUCUAUGACCAAAUUUCCAUAGUUUAGCAGUUUGGAAGGUUAGAUGCCUUUAACACUAGUACACACGAGUCACGACUCAGGUCUUCUUUUCCUUCUUUUUGUUUCUCUCUUGACAUGAUACAUUUCAGAUACCAUAAUACAGUAUUGGUCUGUUGACAAAUAUACCAAGGAAUAUUAAUUUUUUUGGACAGGCCUUUUUUUAUUAUUUUGACCAGAUUUACAUGUAAAUGUUCUCUAACGAGAAAUCAACUUUAGAAUAUAUCAUUUGUAGAUCGAAACACUGGAUCUGUAAAAUAUAUAUUGAAUAUGUUGUGUUAACAUUAUUCGGCUUUCUCCGGUCUAAGGCCUCUUUGAAACAAAGGAACAACAAAAGGAAGGACUAGUUUUUUGAGCAUGGUCUCUCUCCCUCUCCCUCUCUCUCAAACCUGAGUGUGGUCUGGAUUUUCUAUUUGUUAUGAUUUGUGAAGGAAGAGGACCCUUUCUUGUGGAAUUGGAAUUGGAGGGUGCAUUCCAAAAUUUCAAAAUUCAAACGGUUCUUUCCUUUCCUCCAGAACGCAGUUACUUUUGUGUCCUUACCCCCUCAGUGUCGUUGCUUCUUUAGGCCAGUCUCAAUGCACAAUUUCAUUGCAAUGUUACCAAAAUUAAAAAAUUUGGUAACUGUGCAUGUUGGGUUUCAUGGGGAUGAAACUCCUCUCUCAUUUCAUGAAACUCCAUCCUCUCUCUCCUCGUAAAGACCUUGACAAAUCAGCAAAAUUGCUGAUGUGGUAUAGAAAUUUAUACUGACAAAACUUUUUAUAAAACUCCCAUUGAGACUGGCCUUAGAUUGCAGCAACAUUCGGAUAUGUUUAGCUCCAAUGUAAUGAGAUGCUAAUUUGGUUCAAUUUCAUACUAGCGCUUUCAGUGUGAAGAAGCAUUAAUAAAGUCUACAACAUUCUAACUGUUGGUAUUCUACCCUAACAUGCAGGAAAAAUUCCGAAGUCUUUGUUCGCUCUUCCAGUCCUGCAGCAGCUUCGUCUAGUUAGGAAUCAGCUUGUUGGCUCACUAGAAGACAUUCCUGCUCCUUUAUCGUCACCAAUGCGGGAGAUGGAUUUAAGAGGUAAUCAAUUGACAGGCCCAAUACCAAAAUCACUUUUUCAGCUCACGAAACUUGAGCGUCUUCAUCUAGCUAGGAAUCAGCUUGUUGGCUCAAUAGAAGACAUUCCUGCUCCUUUAUCGUCACUAUUGUUGGAGAUCGAUUUAAGGGGUAACCAAUUGACAGGCCCAAUACCAAAAUCACUUUUUCAGCUCACAAAUCUUGAGUAUCUCGAUCUUGGCUCGAAUAAAUUGACAGGCACAAUAGAACUUGGCUCUAUAUGGAGGUUGAAAAAUCUCAUUGAUCUCGACCUGGGUAACAAUAUGAUAUCACUCGUAGAAAAAGAAGGUGAUACGAUAUUCUCUUAUUCCCUUAAAAUCCGGACCUUAUACCUUGCAUCUUGCAACCUUACAAAAUUUCCGGAAUCAUUAAAAUAUCUUGACACUAUUCAAAGGCUCGACCUUUCCAAUAACCAAAUUGAAGGGGCCAUACCAAGUUGGUUGUGGGAGAAACCCCUGGUUAGGUUGAACCUCUCACACAACAUGUUUACUACUUUAGAGAGGUCUCCUACUUUUCAGAUGACAGAUUUAGAUUCUCUUGAUCUCAGUUUUAAUAGAAUUCAAGGAAGCAUACCAAUACCAUCAACUCCAUCUUACCUAGUUCUGUUGGAUUACUCAAAUAAUGACUUCUCUACCAUGGAACCUAACUUUGGCAGGUAUCUUAGAAAUGCCAUCUACAUCAAUUUGUCAAAAAAUAAAUUAAGUGGCCAUGUACCACUUUCAUUUUGUAGUUUAAACCAACUUAAGCUCAUGGACUUAUCUUACAAUAACUUUAGUGGACCAAUUCCAUCAUGUCUUAUGGAAAGAGUUGACCUGAGCAUAUUGAAGUUAAGAGGAAACAAAUUACAUGGCGUGCUACCUGAAAAUAUCAGAGAAGGAUGUAAGCUUCAGACAAUUGAUUUCAAUGAAAAUCAAAUUGAAGGUGCGCUACCUAGAUCACUAGCAAAAUGCCAAGACUUAGAGGUUCUUGAUGUUGGCAGUAAUCAUAUUGUAGAUUCAUUUCCAUCAUGGAUGGGUACUCUUCCAAAGCUUCAAAUUCUUGUGUUGAGAUCUAACAAACUCUAUGGCACUAUAAGGGAUCUUCGCAGGGGCUACCAACACUUUACAAGUUUGCAAAUAGUUGAUUUGGCCUCCAACCAUUUCUCUGGUGACUUACAUUCCGAAUGGUUUGAGAAUUUUAUUUCAAUGAUGAAUAACAGCAAUGAUGAGGGGCAGAUAUUAGAGCACCAUCCAACUGCAGCAAUGGCACGAUUGUAUCAAGAUACUGUCACUAUCACAUUCAAAGAUGCUGUUUUAAGCAUCACCAAAAUCCUUCGUGCUUUCAAAGUAAUUGAUUUGUCAAAUAACUCAUUUGAGGGUUCCAUUCCAAGUUCAAUUGGAAGACUUGCUUCACUUCACGGACUUAACAUGUCGCACAAUAACUUCACGGGAGAAAUUCCAUCACAACUUGGGAAGUUAACAAGGUUGGAAUCAAUGGAUCUCUCUUGCAACCAUCUCUCGGAAGAAAUUCCACAGGAGUUUACCUCUCUAACUUCUCUUUCCUGGUUGAACCUUUCGUACAACAACUUGACAGGAAGAAUACCGCAGGGAAACCAAUUCUUGUCAUUUCCCAGCAGUUCGUUUGAAGGCAAUGCUGGCCUAUGUGGAAUUCAGCUUUCCAAGGAAUGUGACCCUCAUCCAGAUUCAACCACCCCAAGCACAUUGGCUCCAGAACACAAUGCUUUGUGGCAGGAUAGACUCGACGCCAUCAUUUUGUUCCUCUGUGCUGGCUUGGGCUUUGGCGUGGGUUUUGCAUUGGCAAUCAUAUUCGGUCCCUUUUACCACAUAGAAGAAUGGCUUUGCAAGCAUUUGUAAUAGUAAUAUAAGUUUUCAACAAGAAUAAUUAUGUAUGUUUGUGCUGUACUCGUUAUUAGAUGAGACAACUUAAAUCCACUCAGUUGUAAUUACGUUGUAACUAGUCCACCAACCCGUACUUCCACAUGGGCCAAUAUUUUUAAAAACUGUUGUAUUUGAAAAUUAUUUAGAAAUUAAACUCCAAGCUAAUAAUAAAAAGGGUUUACUUAUUACUCUCUCAUUUUUUCAAUACUUCAACAUAUUACUCAUAUGAUGUGUACUUAUCUCUGUUCAGUUGUGAUUGAUUUUUAAUUAGUAAUUACUCUAUACACUUUUUCAUCACAUUCACACUUUUUCAUUUUAUAUUGCACCUCCAUACAUUGUGUUUAGCAUCAAAAUUAAUAUUUCCAUCACUUCCUCACAUACAUGUAUAAAUGGUCUUCAUGGCGAUACUCAUCAUGUCUAUAUACCUUAACUUAGUAUUUCUCUAUUAACAAGAACAUAAACUAGUAACUAGAAUCAUAUAUUAGUUUUUUUGGACAUUUCUGUAUGAUGCACAUGCACAAAGAUAAUUAGAUUAAGAAUUAGGUGUUUACUUUAGAUUAUUUUUAAAAACGACAUACAUGGGUAACUUAGAUACAAACUUAGAAUGUCAUUUUAAGUUAUGCUUUAUAAUGAUAGACAUGAGUAAAUUGGAUGAAGAUUAUGGGCUUACUUUACAUUAUUUUUUAUAAUGGCAGAGCUCGGUAAUUUAGAUAUAGGUUUAGUGUUUAAAUGAUAGUGGUGGGUAACUUUUUAGAAACUAUAAUAUACCAAUGACUAUGAUUAAUAUAGUUUGCAUGAUCGAUAUUUGAUAUUUAUGAUUUUUAUGAGAAUUUCUAGGAUUUGUGUUUUUUAGCGUAUCUCUUCGUGCAGCCGUUGAGUUGUCCACUUAUGAUCCUAGGUAGCUUCACCUGGAGGCUUUAAAAGGAGACUCCAAUUAGUAAUAGUUACUGCAUUUCAUAAGUGAUUUUCAAAGAUAAUUUUUUGAGGCAAUAAAAAAAGUUGUGAUAUCACCUAGGUCUCAAAGAAAGUUGUGAUACCACUCUCCUUUUUGUUUUAUUUUUAUUUUAUUUUUCUGAUUCUCAUGUGUACAGCUUUGCAUGAUCAAGAAAAUUUAGGUAUGGUCUCCUCUCCCGACUUCUUCCUUUAAAAUUUGACAUCGAAGCGUGCGGAUUCUUCAUUUCAGGUGUUUCUUCUCAUUUUUCUUCGUUUUCUUUUCUUUUCCAAUUGUAGCUCAUUUUUCUUUUCAGCCCAUUCUUCUUUAUUUCAGGUGUCCGGAUUCUUUUCUUUUCGUUUUCUUUCCGUAUGCUCCUCUUGACCUUCAAUAUGCUUAACAUGUCAAACAAUAACUUCACGGGACAUAUUCCACCAGAACUUGUUAACUGUUGGCGGUCCUUAAAUACCAUAUCCGACCAUCAAUUCUAAUAAAGAAUAGUGAAAUAACAAAAACCAAACUAGAGAUAGGGGUUUAACUCUAACCAUUUUCACAAGCUUUGGUGAAUCAUUGUUUACAGGAGAUCGCGUCUCCAUACGAGGGAAAACAUGCUCAAACCCAUGAAGAAACACACGCUUCGGCCUAUCCUGAUAGAGCAUGAUACAAGAAGGGCCCACAUGACAUACUGUUGGCGCUAAAGAUCAGCCGAUCGAAUCUCAGCGUCGGACACACGACCCGGGAGAAUCUGCUUAACUCCUAUUCGGGUGAUCGCCCUAGUGCGGUUCGCGCGGCGUGCCAGCCAAUCUGACCUGUUGAUUGGCAAGGAAAGAAACGUGUCAGAUCCCAGAGGUUGCGAUCGGCUAAGGUUCCGAUCUCGAGGAAGCUUGUCAGCGACUCGGCCGAUUUGCUAUAAUAAGGAAAUCGGCUAUAGCGCAGCCGACUACUAGGUAACAUUUGUGAAGAAAGCUAUCAGAGUAAACUAAAAAAACGCUACAAUAGCAACACUUGAAACAGAUCUAAUCGGCUAUGCAAAAGCAGCGGAUAAGCGAUAAAUAUAAGUAAGCCGAAAGCUCUAAUUCCAAGCUAGAUAACUGGUGAUAAAAUUAGAACAGUAGGUAAACCCUAGAAUUCUAGUAAAUAUCGAUAACUGAUGAAUAAAUCUAAACGAAAUGACAGCGAUGCGCCCGAAGUUAAAGCUUAGAUAUUACUCGAUAAACGGAACUUACAGAAUCGUCCGGAGAUCAAGUCGAUGCAGCCCCGCCAACCCGUACGAACUCGUGGAAAGAAGAAAAGUACUGGCGAAGUCGCCGACUUAAAAAUAAAGUACGAGGAAAUAGUAGAUUGUUGUAUUGAUUUGAUGUUGUUUUUUCAGAUCUCUAAAGACGGCUAUUUAUAGCCUGUUACAACCAAUCUCUUAACCGACUAGGACUCUAUCUCUAAUAUUAAACGAAAAUGAAUAUUUACAAGCAUAACUCGUAUCGGAGUUGGUCGCCGCGCUCUUGUGGGCCAAUCCCCCCAUUAUCUUCGUAAUCCACUUUAAGCCCAUACUGGCCCAAUUGCUCCAGCCUCUUAAUCGGCCGAUCUGUACCAACUCCGUCCGCCAAAACACUGCAGCGUCAAUCGGCCAAUCUCCAACUAUAGCACCAAUCGGCCGAUUCCCAAUCGUGACCUUUUCAUCCUGCCGCAUCAGCUAAUCCUUCCCUUUCUUGACGCCGAUUCCAUACGUGUCAAAAAUUGGCGUCAACACAUACCAAAUCGCCUUAUCUUGGCGCGGGCCACCCUAGAUCCACAUGAGGAGCCCACAAGGAUCCACGACCAAAUUUGGGCCCAAACGGAGCCAGUAGGGGCUUGGCCGAACCCAUGGUUCGACCAAUCUGCCACUGGGCCCGAUCAAGCCCAUCUUUCGUGUGGAGUCUCCCACUGCCUUACUCGAGGCGGUUGCGGGAGGUUGGCGCGAAGCAACAAACCUGGACAUGGGAUCCUUCAGGAGUGGAGGGGAUAGAGGGAAUAUUCUAUGGGAUCUUUGGAGCAUAUCCACUCCCCCAAGGCUCCCUCUCCAAUAUAAAAGACCCCUUUGUCUCCAUUCAGCAAACAACAACACACAAGAGAAGAAGAGCUCCACCACUCCAAGGUAAAGGCCUACCUCUGUAGUGCUUAGAAAAUAGGGAGAGAGUGAGAGGUAGUUCGGAGAAGUGCUUAGAAAAAAGUUGUGAUAUCACCUAGACCUCAAAGAAAGUUGUGAUACUACUCUCCUUUUUGUUUUCUUUUUAUUUUUUUCUGAUUCUCAUGAGUACAGCUUUGCAUGAUCAAUAAAAUUUAGGUAUGGUCUCCCCUCCCGACUUCUUCCUUUAAAAUUUGACAUCGAAGCGUGUGGAUUCUUCAUUUCAGGUGUUUCUUCUCAUUUUUCUUCGUUUUCUUUUCUUUUACAAUUGCAGCUCAUUUUUCUUUUCAGCCCAUUCAUCUUUAUUUCAGGUGUGCAGAUUCUUUUCUUCUCCUUUUCUUUCCAUAUGCUCCUCUUGACCUCUUGGUUUUUACUACUACACUAGUGUGAUCAAGAAAUAUCUUGAAGCUUAGUUGUCUAUUAGCUAUACAUGAGUUGUUACCUAGUUGGCAUAUGUGAGUUGUUAUCUAGUUGUCAUAUUUGUUGUGAGUGAGUUGUGUCAGUCUUAUGAGCCUAUAAAUAGAGGCAAGCCUCAAGUUUGUAACUUGGUUUUGAUGUACCCACUACCUUAUGAAUAGGACAUGUUCUACCCUUUAGAUCUUGUACACUAAGGGCUUUGGACUAAACUCUUGCUAUCCAUGGAUUUGGAUUCGACCUUUUGAUCCAUCUUUGACUCUAGAACGAUAUGUAGCUCAGCACGUUGAAGUGGUUCCUUCAACACUUUGUGCUGUUUCUACCUAUUAGCACAUUGGAGAGGUUCCUCCAAUACUUGUGCUAUAUUUAUCUAUUUGUAGCAGCACCGUGGAGCUGUUCCUCCACAUUAGUGUUCUGAACUGCACCGUUGUAAUUCCACCAUAGAAAUAGGGCCAGUUCCGCCAUCAUCCAUUUAUGCACCAUACAUUUGUCAUGCGCUUUCCAGUUUGUAUUCCCAAAAUAGCAGAAUUCUUGAUAUGCUGGUUGUGACAGUAGCAUCAUCUCCAGACCUUUAGCUAACAUAUAUCCUUGCAUAGCUAUUUGUAACAGCUUACUCAGUGUUUGUCGCCACUCGAGAAUUGACCAGUUAAAUGGGCAUGCAGCUACACAAGAGAAAUGACUGCAAUAGUUCUCUUGGUAUGUAAAUACAUCCAUUUCUUGACCAUUAGGUUAACCAGACCGCUCAGCUGUAACCAUCCAUCCAUAUUGCAGGCUUCAUGAUCAAAUAAAAUAGCAUGAAGGUAUGACUGAAACAAACCAAGUCCUCGCCUGUAGCAAACAUCAAAUUGAUUCCCACACUCCAUCCUGAUUUGAAAAUGGAAAGGCCUCACUAUGCACAUGCUCAGUAGGUAAAUUUGUACGCAAGAAGAUUUUAUCUCUGAUGCCAUGGUUCCUAAGACAGCCACUUCACAAUUCUUACCAUUGAUGAUCCUAGAAUCAUAAGAUGCACAUCACUAGUUGAAUGAAGGUAAUCUUUCAACCACUGCUUUCUCACCUUGACUCUAGUAGAAUUGGCAGUCAAUAUGGACCACAGCCAUAAGGAUAUAUUUUGCACUACCAGCAUACUCACACAUGCAUUUCAGUUACUUGACAUUAUUAGAUCUACGAAGUAAUAGUCCUUCACCUAGAACUGUAUGCUGAAAUCGUCAUACCAUACCUCUCACACAUCCAUGUGGUUUGGACUGUGGACUGACCAACACAUCAGCCGCUAUUAGCCAUUGGUGUUUUUGACAGCAUUCUAACUUGAUAGCAACUAAAACUGAAAGCCGGCCAAGGUGCUGGUUGUAUCUCAGCACCACUAUCCAUAAUAUCCAGUUGUAUUGGCGGUGGCCAUGGAUGCUUCAGAAGCUCACCAUCUCUGCUUGGCUGAAUGGCGUCCACAAUAUUGGCCUUAGAUCAUCUGCACUGUGCAAACUCCAUGUAGUAUAGCAUGUGGCAGGAACAGGAGUACCGGCAUUACCCUGAACACCUUGCGGGCAUUGUAGACACCAGUGCCAAUACACAGCAGAAACAUGUCAUCUGUUGGAGCCGGGCUCUCGCUGGUGAUUUGGAAGUUGCAGACGUUGUUGCUGUUGAUUGUGGUGAACAAAGUUGGGGUGGUGACUAGAGGCCUAGAGCACUCAUGGUCGGUAGAACACAAGCAUUGUGGAUAUGACUGGGCGUUGAACACCUGUUGGGCGUCACAGAUUAGCACUCCGUAGUGGUGAUAGAGAUGGCUAGGGCGGCAUCCUGGUAAGAGUAGAGGUGGAGGUAGAGGGAGGUGCCGAGGAUGCGGUCUUGGACACCAGAAUGCAGGUGUCACCGUAAAGGGAAGUCUUUGGACACCUUGUGGGCGCCAUCUCUAGAACGUCGCUGGCCCUGACAGAACGACGCAGAAAGCUGUUGGUGAUGCCGAGGUCAUGGCUCUAGGCACUUGAAAGCAGGUAGCCGCCAUCAAACACCUGGUGGGCGCCACUGGUUGAAGCUCCGUGGCCGUGACGAGAAUGACAAUAGAGGCAUCCUGUGGUGGAAAGGAGGUCAGUGAAGGCACAACUGAGCAUUCCUUUCCUCGAUCAUCCGAUUCAUGUCAUCCCACUUCUGAUCUAGUUCUUCAAGGUUGGCUAGUAUCACAGCACACAUCUCCUCCGUCAUGUUCACUCGUAUUCCAAUGCGGUGCUAGUGGUGGUUUUUUGAUCGAAAUAGUUGUGAACCAAAUGUCACACCCUAGAUGCAACUCACAGAACAAAUUAUCUCCCAACAAUGAACUACGGAAUAUAUAUGGAGUAUACUAGAAUUUGGAUACACAUGGAUGAGGAACUCGCUGGUGUUCUCGAGCCGAAGCUCGCCGCCGCAGAGCCGAUGAGUCCCAAAUCCAGUUCUUCUGUCCCUCACGAUGAUAACGCUGCGCCAGCUACGCUAUCUACGCCAGCUACGCUGCUACGCUGCUAGAAUUAGAGUGAGAUGACCAACACAUUCUGCGCCAGCUACGCUGCAGCGAUGCCCGUUCAUGGGCCUAUCUUAACUACCUUAGCCAUUCGGGCCCAACAAGGAUAAUGUUGGGCUUCCGUACCUGAUGGCCCACAACUUCGGCUUUACUGCACUUAAGAUAAAUAUCAUGUACGGUUCACUGGAGAAGCCCUCCACCAGUUGUAGUUGCUAGUUAGUACAGGUCUUAUCUACAACCCUGCAUUAGCUAUCUCACUCUAAUUUGGCUAGCUGUCAGGACAGUCUGCUUACUCGAAACUUGAGGCAUGUUUCUUUAAUAUAAUUUUCUUUUCUUCUUGGAUGUUUAUAGCGCAUACGUGAUCUUUUGAAGUACUGCUAUAGAGAGGAAGACAAGUUCUUCUCAUUUAACAUCUUUUUUUUAAUUUAUUUUUGUUAAACUUUUAGAUCAAUCGUUUGAAUUCUCCUCAAUAUUUGCUUGCUUCAUGUUCUCUUUGUUUUUGUGCAACAGUAUGAUCUUGGAAUAGGAAUGCUGCAAGACAAUUCAAAUAGAAGGUUAGUUUCAUCAUAUUAUAUGGUUAAAAUUACUUUAAAAUUAUAUGGUUAAAAUUACUUUGUAAUGGUUGACUGUCACUGUUGUUUGCAUUGGCAGAUCAUGGAUGGAAUUCCUGCAAGAGCCAAGCACAAACUGUUGUCAGCGCUUCUCUGUUGAUGUUUCGUUUCUCGUUGCCACCUUUCUUGCAGACCGGUUAGGGUUAGGUUACACCAUCUGCUUCAGGUGAUUUCGGGAAUGUGGAAUGUUUCCUCUUCAUUUGAGAAGAAAGAGAGAGUGUUUUGUUGGAAUAUUACUGGUGCGUAGGUUUAUGCAUGGCUUUUCAGGGCUCAAAUCAAGGGGAAAAAAUAGACUAAUGGGCUGGUAAAUUUAUGUUCUGGUAAAAAUAGACUAAUGGCUUUAUUUAGUUCCACGAAUCCUGGUGAACUCCGGAACUUAAAAUGAAAUCCUAAAAUUGUUUCUCUAACCUCCUAUCUCAAUAUGGGCUGUUCUUUUUUUUUUUCUGGUCAACUAUUUCCCCCAACUUACGGACCCAUCUCGGCCUGCAGGCCUGCCGAGGCCUCUUCUCUCCUUUCGUCGUUCGGUCCCUCUAAUUUCGCUCUUGUGCUUGCGCACCAGGCGCCAUCUCUCACCGCGCCAGGAGCUUUGCAGCGCCAGACGGCCCCGCUCCACACCACAAUAUUCUUCCUUGGAACCUGCGGGCUCCGCUGAGCCGCUGCGUGAUCUUCUAUUCGCGACUCUGUGUACCUCGCCAUGUUACAAUUGCCUUCACUUUACUUCAUCAUUGCUCUCUAACCUAGGUACUCGGUUAUGAACAGCGCGCCGGCUAAGCGAGUACCCGGUGAAGGCGAGCGCAACGAGCCCUAGCACAUGGCAUCCAUCGAAAAUACAGAAUUUUCAGAGUAUGGAAUUUUCAGUCCGCGGUGUGGCCAACAUUAUCUUUAUAUGAUUUUAUUUGCAAACCGAGUUUUUAAGUAACAACGUAAAUAAAACACUCUCGUAUCAUUGCUCUAAAGGGGGAGUAAGGAAUAACAGAAAUAACGUCGUGCCAUUCCCCAGAAACAAAGAACAACUGUAAAAAUUGGUUCUAGAUGAAGCUAAAUUGACCAUCGAUGGCGAUUGUGUCAACACGGCAAACAUCCAUACAGCUAGCAUUGACUGACUUGGCUGAUAAAUCCAGGCCACUUCACUGUUGAGUACUUCAGGAAACUCGACAGGUCUUAUGACAAGUCUCGGUUGACUCGAAUUAUUGACCUUAGGACACUGACCUUGAUUUCCUCAUCCCCUUUCCUAUUGUCUUGCGGUCCAGAUGCCCAUUACCCAGUGCCUACCAGUGUGUGCUUCUCCCUCCGAUUGUACAUACGUGCGGGUCCCACAUAUCAGCCCCUUCCAUCCUCUUUACUUUAUAAUCUCCAAAGCAUGGGCCGCCCUUCUUUGUUACCUGUAUGGCUGUAUCACCUCCCCUGCCGAUGAGUGCCCAUGCAUGCUGAUACUUUGGUACCAUCUGCUCCAACCAAGCACCACCUCUCAUGCAAGUCAACAUAGAUGGUAUUUGGUGUCAAUUCACUGCUUAUAUUUUUAAAUGAAUUUAAUAUAAAUUUUGAUUAUCUAUUGCUUCUAAAUUCAUGUCGAAAUUAAUUUGAUAAUUUUUUAACCUAUAAUAUCCUAUACUUCAUUUUAUGAGGAAACUAUCAGAAAAUGAAUUGUAAUUUUUAUGACUCAUAUCUAUUUGCUCUCUUUAUUAGAUAUUUUGCUUUCCAAUUGUAUGUAAAUCAAACUUUUAUUUUAUUUUUAUCAUUCGGAGUUUUAGUUUUUUUAUUACUUCCAUGUCAAGAUGAUAUUCUGGACAAGAUUCCAAUCAACCUUUUGAAAAUCUAACCACUAUUGACAGCUUUUAGAAUAUUCAGUUUGAAAAUUAGAAUACUCAUUGAAAGACAUAAUAUAAUAUUUUGUAUGUUUAUAUAAUAUCUUCUUACUGAAAAUAGCGGCCACACAGCUAUGUUAUCCAAAACACCUUCUUUUCUUUAAGAACAGGGGAACGAUUGUUUUUUUCCUAUUUUAUUAAUAUGAUAUUUUAUAGUCAAUCCGGAGACUUCUUUUCUCUUAGCUUUGCCUUAUUAAAAUAACAAUUGAAGAUUCCGUAACUAUGGUUGGAGCCAGAUAUUUACUUCCAUGGCCCCAGUUCGCUGGUCUUCCUCUCGAGUCAGCGACCGGAAUGUGUGGUUCAGAGCAACCAGAGAACAGAAUAUCUACACACGAUUGAUUGGAAUUUGGAAACUGCAAACCAGUAGCGCAAUGGCUCCUGCCAAGGAUCGCCUCCACAACCUUCUGGUCCUGCUCUUGUUCAUAGGUUGCCUCUUCAUAGAUGCUGCCGCCAAGCUUAACACCACAGCGCCUUGCCUCCCGGAUCAAGCUUCUUCCCUCCUCCGGCUAAAAGCUUCCUUCAUCGGUGACAACCUACCAUCAUGGCAAGCUGCAACAGAUUGUUGCCACUGGGAGGGCGUCACCUGCGACAUGGCCUUUGGAAGAGUCAUUUCUCUUGACCUCAGUGAGUUCCACCUAAUGAGCAGGCGUCUUGAUCCUGCGCUCUUCAACCUCACCUCUCUCAGGAACCUCAGCCUUGCAUCUGUUGACUUCAGUGGAUAUUUCAUUUCGCUCCCGGCUUUUGGGUUUGAGCGGCUCACGGAUAUCAUUUACCUCAACCUCUCUGAUACCGGUUUUAAGGGUAAGAUCCCAAUUGGAAUUGCGUGCCUCAAGAACCUUGUGACCAUUGACUUGUCUGGUAAUUACAACUUGUAUUUUGAACGGCCAAGUUUCCAAACCAUCAUGGCAAAUAUGAGCAAUCUGAGGGAGCUUUAUCUUGAUGAAGUGGGUUUACAGGACAUCGGAUCGGAUUGGUCCACUGUUUUAGCAGACUCCGUUCCCCAGCUACAGAUUCUUAGUUUGUCCCGCUGUGAUAUAUCAGGUUCUAUCCACCCUUCAUUCUCAAGGCUUCGCUCACUUACAGCGAUCAACCUCGGAUACAAUGAUGGACUCACCGGCGGCAAAGUCCCGGAGUACUUUUCUGAACUAUCUUCCUUGACCAUUUUAGACAUAUCAGGAAAUCAAUUUGAAGGGCAAUUUCCAACAAAAAUAUUCCAGCUAAAAAGUUUGAGGACGCUUGAUUUGUCCUGGAACCCCAUGCUUUCUACGAGAUUAACAUAUUUCCCAGCUGGAAACAAUUUGGAAGUACUAAAUCUAGAAGGGACCAAUUUCUCUUAUGACACGCCAUCCUCGUUUGGUAAUCUCGAGUCUUUACAGACAUUGGGGCUUAGCACGAUGGGCAUUGAUAAUGAACUCGCCUCUUUGAUAUCUGAGCUUCCAGCAUUGGAUGACCUGCAACUCUUUGGGUCAGGUUUGGAGAACCCGGUAUUAUCUUGGGUCAGCAAUCUUACCCAAUUGACAAACCUGCAGCUUGAUGGUUAUGACUUCACUAAAUCGGUUCCCACUUGGAUCGGCAAAUUGACAAGGCUGGAAAGUUUGACGAUAGAGGAUUGCAGUUUCUCCGUGCCAAUACCAUACCAGAUUAGAAAUCUUACUAAAUUGGCAGCGCUGCAGUUCUCAGGUUGCGACUUCGCUGAGCAAAGAAUGCCAUCAUGGAUAGGCAAUCUUACAAAGUUGACUUCUUUGGUCAUUGGUGGUUGCAGUUUAUCUGGGCCAAUACCCUCAACAAUUGGGAACCUGAUCCAACUUGAAGAGUUGAAGUUCUCCUAUACUGACAUCAGCGGUGAGACUAUGUCCCAGUUACUUUCUUUCUAGAUACCUCAUUUUAUUUUGCAACUGUAGACAGACGCUUUAAUUUCUUUAAUUCGCUCUUGCUCCUCAUACUCGAACUAGGAAGCAGGGGAUACCUACUAUAUGACACGUCAUGCAUACACUGUUAAAAAAAAUAAUGAAUUUAAGUGAAGAAGAAAAUUUAACACUACCAAAUCAAUAGAGUGACCUUCAGAAAAAAAGAAAAAGGCUUUGGCUAGUAAUUUUCGGCGCUGUUGAGAAAAGAAAAACCCUGAUAUUUUCACUUUGAGUCUAUGACCAAAUUUUCAUAGUUUCACAGUUUGGAAGGUUAGAUGCCUUUAACACUAGUACACACGAGUCACGACUCAGGUCUUCUUUUCCUUCUUUUUUUUCUCUCUUGACAUGAUUCAUUUCAGAUACCAUAAUACAGUAUUGGUCCAUUUAUAAAUAUACCAAGGAAUAUUAAUUUUUUCGGACAGGCCUUUUUUAUUAUUUUGAUCAGAUUUACAUGUAAAUGUUCUCUAACAAGAAAUCAACUUUAGUAUAUAUCAUUUGUAGAUCGAAACACUGGAUCUGUAAAAUAUAUAUUGAAUAUGUUGUGUUAACGUUGUUCAACUUUCUCCGGUCUAAGGCCUCUUUGAAACAAAGGAACAACAAAAGAACUAUUGAAAAACCUGAGCGUGGUCUCUCUCUCCCUCUCUUUCUCUCUCAAACCUGAGCGUGGUCUGGAUUUUCUACUGAUUUGUGAAGGAAGAGGACCCUUUCUUUCUUGUGGAAUUGGAAUUGGAUGGUGCAUUCCCAAAUUCCAAAAUCCAAACGGUACUUUCCUUUCCUCCGGAACGCAGUUACUUUAGUGUCCUUGCCCCCUGUCAGUUUCGUCGCUUUUUUAGGCUAGUCUCAAUGCACAACUUCAUUGCAUUGUUACCAAAACUGCAAACUUGGUAACUGUGCCUGUUGGAUUUCAUGGGAAUGAAACUCCUCUCCCAUUUCAUGAAACUCCAUCCUCUCUCCUCAUAAAGACUUUGCCAAAUCAGCAAAAUUGCUGAUGUGGUAUAGAAAUUAAUGCUGAUGAAACUUUUUAUAAAACUUUCACUGAGACUAGCCUUAGAUUGCAGCAACAUUCGGAUAUGUUUAGCUCCAAUGUAAUGAGAUGCUAAUUUGGUUCAAUUUCAUACUAGCACUUUCAGUGUGAAAAAACAUUAAUAAAGUCUGCAACAUUCUGACUGUUGGUAUUCUACCCUAACAUGCAGGAAAAAUUCCGAAGUCUUUGUUCACUCUUCCAGGCCUGCAGCAUCUUCAUCUAAUUAAGAAUCAGCUUGUUGGCUCACUAGAAGACAUUCCUGCUCCUUUAUCGUCACCAUUGCGGGAGAUUGAUUUAGGAGGUAAUCAAUUGACAGGCCCAAUACCAAAAUCACUUUUUCAGCUCACGAAUCUUGAGCGUCUCAGUCUUGAAUCGAAUAAAUUGACAGGCACAAUAGAACUUGGCUCUAUAUGGAGGUUGAAAAAUCUCACUUAUCUUAACCUGGGUAACAAUUUGAUAUCACUCGUAGAAAAAGAAGGUGAUAUGAUAUUCUCUUAUUCCCUUAAAAUCCAAGAGUUAUACCUUCCAUCUUGCAACCUUACAAAAUUUCCGGAAUCAUUAAAAUAUCUUGACACUAUUCAAGUUCUCGACCUUUCUAAUAACCAAAUCGAAGGGGCCAUACCUAGUUGGGUGUGGGAGAAUCCCCUUGUUGAGUUGGAGCUCUCACGCAACAUGUUUACUACUUUAGAGAAGUCUCCUGCUGUUCAGAUGACACAUUUAGUUUUUCUUAAUCUCAGUGUUAAUAGAAUUCAAGGAAGCAUACCAAUACCAUCAACUCCAUCCGACCUGGUUCUGUUGGAUUACUCAAAUAAUGAUUUCUCUACCAUUGAACCUAACUUUGGCAGGUAUCUUAGAAAUGCCAUCUACAUCAAUUUGUCAAAAAAUAAAUUAAGUGGCCAUGUACCACUUUCAUUUUGUAGUUUAAGCCAACUUGAGCUCAUGGACUUAUCUUACAAUAACUUUAGUGGACCAAUUCCAUCAUGUCUUAUGGAAAGAGUUGACCUGAGCAUAUUGAAGUUAAGAGGAAACAAAUUACAUGGCGUGCUACCUGAAAAUAUUAGAGAAGGAUGUAAGCUUCAGACAAUUGAUUUCAAUGAAAAUCAAAUUGAAGGUGCGCUACCUAGAUCACUAGCAAAUUGCCAAGACUUAGAGGUUCUUGAUGUUGGCAGUAAUCAUAUUGUAGAUUCAUUUCCAUCAUGGAUGGGUACUCUUCCAAAGCUUCGAAUUCUUGUGUUGAGAUCUAACCAACUGUAUGGCACUAUAAGGGAUCUUCGCAGUGGCUACCAACACUUCACAAGUUUGCAAAUAGUUGAUUUGGCCUCCAACCAUUUCUCUGGUGUCUUACAUUCUGAAUGGUUUGAGAAUUUUAUUUCAAUGAUGAAUAACAACAAUGAUGAGGGGCAGAUAUUAGAGCACGAAACAAAUGCAUCACGGGCACCAUUGUAUCAAGAUACUGUCACUAUCACAUUCAAAGAUGCUGAUUUAAGCAUCACCAAAAUCCUUACUACUUUCAAAGUAAUUGAUUUGUCAAAUAACUCAUUUGAGGGUUCCAUUCCAAGUUCAAUUGGAAGGCUUGCUUCACUUCACGGACUUAACAUGUCGCACAAUAACUUCACGGGAGAAAUUCCAUCACAACUUGGGAGGUUAACAAGGUUGGAAUCAAUAGAUCUCUCUUGCAACAAUCUCUCGGGAGAAAUUCCACAGGAGUUUACCUCCCUAACUUCUCUUUCCUGGUUGAACCUUUCGUAUAACAACUUGACGGGAAGAAUACCGCAGGGAAACCAAUUCUUGUCAUUUCCCAGCAGUUCGUUUGAAGGCAAUGCUGGUCUAUGUGGAAUUCAGCUUUCCAAGGAAUGUGACACUCGUCCAGAUUCAACCACCCCAAGCACAUUGGCUCCACAACGCAAUACUUUGUGGCAGGAUAGACUUGAUGCCAUCAUUUUGUUCCUCUGUGCUGGCUUGGGCUUUGGCGUGGGUUUUGCAUUGGCAAUCAUAUUCGGUCCCUUUUACCACAUAGAAGAAUGGCUUUGCAAGCAUUUGUAAUAGUAAUAUAAGUUUUCAACAAGAAUAAUUAUGUAUGUUUGUCUUGUUCUCGUUAUUAGAUGAGACAUUUUAAAUCCACUCAGUUGUAAUUACGUUGUAACUAGUCCAUCAACCCGUACUUCCACAUGAGCUAGUAUUUUCAAAAGCUGUUGUAUUUGAAAAUUAUUUAGAAAUUAAACACCUUGCUAAUAAUCAAAAUUAUUUACUUAUUACUCUCUCAUUUUUCAACACUUCAACGUAGUACUCAAAUAGAUGUGUACUUAUUUUUAUCCAGUUGUGAUUGAUUUUUAAUUAGUAAUUACUCUAUACACUUUUUCAUCCACAUUCACACUUUUUUAUUUUAUAUCACACCUCCAUAAAUUGUGUUUAGCAUCAAAAUUAAUAUUUUUCAUCACUUCCUCACAUACAUGUAUAAAUGGUCUACAUGGUGUCAUUCAUCAUGUCUAUAUACCUUAAUUUAAUAUUUCUAUAUUAACAAUGACAUAAACUGGUAAUUUAAAAUCAUAUAUUAGUUUAUUUUUGGAUAUUUCUGUAUGAUGCACAUGCAUGAAGAUAAUUAAAUUAAGAAUUAUCUGUUUACUUUAGAUUAUUUUUAAAAACGACGUACAUGGGUAACUUAGAUACAAAUUUAGAAUGACAUUUUAAGUUAUGCUUUAUAACGAUAGUCAUGAUUAAAUUGGAUGAAGAUUAUGGGUUACUUUACAUUAUCUUUUAUAAUGGCAGGUAAAUUAGAUAUAGGUUUAGGGUUUAUAAUGAUAGUGGUGGGUAAGUUUUUAGAAAAUAUAAUAGACCAAUGACUAUGAUUAAUAUAGUUUGCAUGAUUGAUAUUUGAUAUUUAUGAUUAUUGUGAGAAUUUCUAGGAUUUGUGUUUUUUAGCGUAUCUCUUGAGAACUAAUGCAGAGUCUCCAAUGAAAAAAAAAUAAGGCCACAUCGCUAAAAAAAUUACCUUGAGCUAUUUCUCAUUUAUUAAAUAUUGAAACACAAUAGUUAUAUAGAUAUAUAAUUAUGAUCGAUAGAUUUUAAUUGGUAAUUUCUCUUCAACAUUUUCAUCCACAUUUGUAUUGAAGAUAUGCGCUUGAAUUUGUUUAAUGGAUCUUAAGUUUGAGCUAUCAUUUUAACAUAGAAAUUUGUAUUUCCAUCACUUUCUCUAUAUCUUUAUGAAUGGUGACACACAUCAUGCCUAUAUACCUUAAUUAUUAUAUCGUAUACCUACAGCGUAAGAAAUAGACGAUUUAAUAUCGUAUUUUGAUGUAUAUUUUUAUUUAAGGUGAUUUGGAUUCAAAUGUAGUUUACCUCAUGUUAUUUCUAAAUAGCAUAUGUGGGUAAUAAAGAUGCAAAUUUAAGGGGUCAUGUUAACUUAUUUUUUAAGUAUUAGUGGUGGGAUAUUUAGUUGCAAAUUUAGGGGGUUAUUUUAAAUGUUAUUUAUAAUGGUAUAAGUGGGUAACUUUGAUAAAGAUUAGGUGGUUACUUUAGUUUAGUUUAUAUAAUGGUAGAGGUGGGUAAUUUAGAUAUAGACUAGCAAAAUAUCGUGCGUUGCUACGGUAAAAGAUCAAUUCUAAUGAUAUUUUUUAUUUCCAUCACUAAAUUUUUAUUCCACUUAUUGGACGUCUACACAUUUAAUAGAAAACUAAAAGAAUUUUGACUUAAUUAUUUCCUUCAACUCAAAUACCCAUUACAUUAAAAUAUUUUUUAUUCAAGCAAGAGAGUUAAAUCAGCCUCAUAUGGCCACCGAUGGGGCUCUUUAGUCCUUCUAGCCAUGUAAUAUCUUUUCACAUGUAUUUCAUCAAACAGGAGACGGCACGCUCAAACUUUUCCAUCAUGCACAUCCCGUUGUAGGUACGGUGGCUUAGGUUACACCUUAUUUGGAUGGGCUAUAACUACCUUUUAAAUGGUUAAUUAGGGGGUGUUUAGUAGCACUCAACUUCAAUUUUUUUAGCUCCACUCUACCAACUCCACUCCAGUUUAAUUUUUUUAGCUCCACUCCACUUCAACUCCACUCUACCAACUUGAGAAAAAUAAUAAAGUUGUCUACGUACUUGGCAGAAACAUGCCGUGCCCCCCCCCCCCCCCCCCCCCCCGCAAUAGCAAACCAACAGGCUGCCUUCUUCACCGGUCAAGCAAGCUGCUUGCUCCUCUCUCAAAUCCGAACAACAGUGCAACGCCCGAACAACAGUGCAACGACGGGCGGAGAGCCUGGCGCGAGCGGAGCAGCAGCCUAACCCUGGCCAUGACCUCCACCCCGACGAUCCAAGCAGCAGCAGCGUGGCCCCUGCUCCGGCCCCGACCCCAGCGAGGUGACCCAACCGUGGAGGGCAGGGGCGGCGCGGCCACGGUGGGACCUCCCCUGGUCGCCUCGGCGGGCAAGAGGAUCCUGAAGCCCUAAAACGUGCCGAAAGCAGUUACCUGAGACACUGUUACAGUAACCUUUGGGGGUGGAGCAUCACAGCAAUACAGCACAGAGUAAAAUCUCUGAGGAUUCCAUGCUUUUUGCGACAGCAACUCUCGUUAGUACGUACAGGCAAGUGAUGCAAAACAUGGCAUAACUACAUCUAAAGCAUUAUCUGCUCUUUACAUGCUGAUUUUAACUCUGUACAGCAAGGAAACGGGAGCAUUUUUUUCCCCUGAAAAUCUGUAUAGUUCUGAAGUGUUGUACAUCUUCGUAAAAGAUUAAUUGAAAAAUGAUAUAGCACAACAUACAACCACACUUGCUAAUUCAAACGACACGAAGCAACACCUCAUAUAGAUCCAAUUCCAACAAAUAUAAGCAGAACAUAUGUCCCAUUUUCCAUCAAACAAGUUUUGUACAAAAGUUCUAUAAGCGGAUUAGCACCACCUCAUAUCUUUUUUACAGUAUACAACCAUAAGAAAAAUAGAAAAAUAAGAGUCGCCAGAUUUCUGUGGCAUGCGAGUGCGAUAGGGUAGCUGAGGUCACCUAUACGAGGGGCGAUAGGGGGAUCUGCUACGGAUGGGGCUUGGACUUCGGUCCCUGCAGCCCCUCCGGCCGCGGUACCGCGCGGGGGGUGGCGACCGCGACAGGUCGCGCGGCAUCGCGCGCGACGAGAUCUAGAGCCUCCGCGGAGCCCGGAACCCCACGGAUCUGGCCGAGACCCGACGAUCGGAGAGGCACGGUGGUUGAAAGGAGGUCAGUGAAGGGGGGUUGAAGAUGCCGGUAGCUCAGCACAGUGGCACAACUGAGCAUUCCUUUCCUCAAUCUCCCGAUUCAUGUCAUCCCACUUCUGAUCUAGUUCCUCGAGCUUGGCCAGUAUCACAGCACACAUCUCCUCCGUCAUGUUCACUCGUGUUCCGAUGCGGUGGUAGUGGUGGUUUUUUGAUCGAAAUAGUUGUGAACCAAAUGUCACACCCUAGAUGCAACUCACAGAACAAAUUAUCCCCCAACGAUGAACUACGGAAUAUAUAUAUGAAGUAUACUAGAAUUUGGAUACACAUGGAUGAGGAACUCGCUAGUGUUCUCGAGCCGAAGCUUGCCACCGCAGAGCCAAUGAGUCCCAAAUCCAGUUCUUCUUUCCCUCACGACGACUUUUUAAUCCUCUUACAUGCUGCGCCAGCUAUGCUGCAGCGAUGCCCGUUCAUGGGCCUAUCUUAACUACCUUAGCCAUUCGGGCCCAACAAGGAUAAUGUUGGGCUUCCGUACCUGAUGGCCCACAACUUCGGCUUUACUGCACUUUAGAUAAAUAUCAUGUACGGUUCACUAGAGAAGCCUCCACCAGUGAUAGUUGCUAGUUAGUACAGGUCUUAUCUACAACCUUGCAUUAGCUAUCUCACUCUAGUUUGGCUAGCUGUCUGCUUACUCGAAGCUUGAGGCAUGUUUCUUUAAUAUAGUUUUCUUUUCUUCUUGGAUGUUUAUAGCACAUACGUGAUCUUUUGAAGUACUGCUAUAGAGAGGAAGACAAGUUCUUCUCAUUUAACAUCUUUUUUUUUUCAAUUUAUUUUUGUUAAACUUUUAGAUCAAUCGUUUGAAUUCUCCUCAAUAUUUGCUUGCUUCAUGUUCUCUUUGUUUUUGUGCAACAGUAUGAUCUUGGAAUAGGAAUGCUGCAAGACAAUUCAAAUAGAAGGUUAGUUUCAUCAUAUUAUAUGGUUAAAAUUACUUUAAAAUUAUAUGGUUAAAAUUACUUUGUAAUGGUUGACUGUCACUGUUGUUUGCAUUGGCAGAUCAUGGAUGGAAUUCCUGCAAGAGCCAAGCACAAACUGUUGUCAGCGCUUCUCUGUUGAUGUUUCGUUUCUCGUUACCACCUUUCUUGCAGACCGGUUAGGGUUAGGUUACACCAUCUGCUUCAGGUGAUUUCGGGAAUGUGGAAUGUUUCCUCUUCAUUUGAGAAGAAAGAGAGAGUGUUUUGUUCGAAUAUUACAGGUGCGUAUGUUUAUGCAUGGCUUUUCAGGGCUCAAAUCAAGGGGAAAAAAUAGACUAAUGGGCUGGUAAAUUUAUGUUCUGGUAAAAAUAGACUAAUGGCUUUAUUUAGUUCCAAGAAUCCUGGUGAACUCCGGAACUUAAAAUGAAAUCCUAAAAUUGUUUCUCUAACCUCCUAUCUCAAUAUGGGCUGUUCUUUUUUUUUUUCUUUCUGGUCAACUAUUUCCCCCAACUUACGGACCCAUCUCGGCCUGCAGGCCUGCCGAGGCCUCUUCUCUCCUUUCGUCGUUCGGUCCCUCUAAUUUCGCUCUUGUGCUUGCGCACCAGGCGCCAUCUCUCACCGCGCCAGGAGCUUUGCAGCGCCAGACGGCCCCGCUCCACACCACAAUAUUCUUCCUUGGAACCUGCGGGCUCCGCUGAGCCGCUGCGUGAUCUUCUAUUCGCGACUCUGUGUACCUCGCCGUGUUACAAUUGCCUUCACUUUACUUCAUCAUUGCUCUCUAACCUAGGUACUCGGUUAUGAACAGCGCGCCGGCUAAGCGAGUACCCGGUGAAGGCGAGCGCAACGAGCCCUAGCACAUGGCAUCCAUCGAAAACUACAUAAUUUUCAGAGUAUGGAAUUUUCAGUCCGCGGUGUGGCCAACAUUAUCUUUAUAUGAUUAUAUUUGCAAACAGAGUUUUUAAGUAACAACGCAAAUAAAACACUCUCGUGUCAUUGCUCUAAAGGGGGAGAAAGGAAUAACAGAAACAACACCGUGCCAUUCCCCAGAAACAAAGAACAACGGUAAAAGUGGUUCUAGAUGAAGCUUAAAUUGACCAUCGAUGGCGAUUGUAUCGACACGGCAAACAUCCAGACAGCUAGCAUUGACUGACUUGGCCUAUUGAGUACUCCGCGGAACUCGGUACGUCUUAUGACAAGUCUCGUUUGACUCGAAUUAUUGACCUUCACUGUCCUUCGUCAUUGCUCUCUAACCUAGGUACUCGGUUAUGAACAACGUGCCGGCUAAGUGAGUACUCGGUGAAGGCGAGCCCAACUUGCCCCAGCACAUCGCAUCCAUCGAAAAUACAGAAUUUCCAAAGUAUGGAAUUUUCAGUGUGCGUUGUGGCCAACACUAUCUUUAUAUGUUUUAUUUGCAAACCGAGUUUUUAAGUAACAACGCAAAUAAAACACUCUCGUAUCAUUGCUCUAAAGGGGGAGUAAGGAAUAACAGAAAUAACGUCGUGCCAUUCCCCGGAAACAAAGAACAACCGUAAAAAUUGGUUCUAGAUGAAGCUAAAUUGAUCAUCGAUGGCGAUUGUAUCGACACGGCAAACAUCCAGACAGCUAGCAUUGACUGACUUGGCUGAUACAUCCACUUCACUGUUGAGUACUCCAGGGAACUCGACAGGUCUUAUGACAAGUCUCGGUUGACUCGAAUUGUUGACCUUAGGACAGUGACCUUGAUUUCCUCAUCCCCUUUCCUAUUGUCUUGCGGUCCUGAUGCCCAUUACCCAGUGCCUACCAGUGUGUGCUUCUCCCUCCGAUUGUACAUACGUGCGGGUCCCACAUGUCAGCCCCUUCCAUCCUCUUUACUUUAUAAUCUCCAAAGCAUGGGCCGCCCUUCUUUGUUACCUGUAUGGCUGUAUCACCUCCCCUGCCGAUGAGUGCCCAUGCAUGCUGAUACUUUGGUACCAUCUGCUCCAACCAAGCACCACCUCUCAUGCAAGUCAACAUAGAUGGUAUUUGGUGUCAAUUCACUGGUUAUAUUUUUAAAUGAAUUUAAUAUAAAUUUUGAUUAUCUAUUGCUUCUAAAUUCCUGUCGAAAUUAAUUUGAUAAUUUUUUAACCUAUAAUAUCCUAUACUUCAUUUUAUGAGGAAACUAUCAGAAAAUGAAUUGUAAUUUUUAUGACUCAUAUCUAUUUCCUCUCUUUAUUAGAUAUUUUGCUUUCCAAUUGUAUGUAAUCAAACUUUUAUUUAUUUUUAUCAUUCGGAGUUUUAGUUUUUUAUUACUUCCAUGUCAAGAUGAUAUUCUGGACAAGAUUCCAAUCAACCUUUUGAAAAUCUAACCACUAUUGACAGCUUUUAGAAUAUUCAGUUUGAAAAUUUAGAAUACUCAUUGAAAGACAUAAUAUAAUAUUUUGUAUGUUUAUAUAAUAUCUUCUUACUGAAAAUAGUGGCCACACAGCUAUGUUAUCCAAAACACCACCUUUUCUUUAAGAACGGGGGAACGAUUGUUUUUUUUCUAUUUUAUUAAUAUGAUAUUUUAUAGUCAAUCCGGAGACUUGUUUUCUCUUAGCUUUGCCUUAUUAAAAUAACAAUUGAAGAUUCCGUAAUGUGUGGUUCAGAUAUUUACUUCCAUGCGAGUUUAUAUUUUGGCUCCAGUUCGCUGGUCUUCCUCUCGAGUCAGCGACCGGAACGAGAGAACAGAAUAUCUACACACGAUUGAUUGGAAUUUGGAAACUGCAAACCAGUAGCGCAAUGGCUCCUGCCAUGGAUCGCCUCCACAACCUUCUGGUCCUGCUCUUGUUCAUAGGUUGCCUCUUCAUAGAUGCUGCCGCCAAGCUUAACACCACAGCGCCUUGCCUCCCGGAUCAAGCUUCUUCCCUCCUCCGGCUAAAAGCUUCCUUCAUCGGUGACAACCUACCAUCAUGGCAAGCUGCAACAGAUUGUUGCCACUGGGAGGGCGUCACCUGCGACAUGGCCUUUGGAAGAGUCAUUUCUCUUGACCUCAGUGAGUUCCACCACCUAAUGAGCAGUCGUCUUGAUCCUGCGCUCUUCAACCUCACCUCUCUCAGGAACCUCAGCCUUGCAUCUGUUGACUUCAGAGGAGUCUCGCUCCCGGCUUUUGGGUUUGAGCGGCUCACGGAUAUCAUUUACCUCAACCUCUCUGAUACCGGUUUUAUGGGUAAGAUCCCAAUUGGAAUUGCGUGCCUCAAGAACCUUGUGACCAUUGACUUGUCUUAUAAUUACGAAUUGUAUUUUGAACGGCCAAGUUUCCAAACCAUCAUGGCAAAUAUGAGCAAUCUGAGGGAGCUUUAUCUUGAUGAAGUGGGUUUACAGAACAUCGGAUCGGAUUGGUCCACUGUUUUAGCAGACUCCGUUCCCCAGCUACAGAUUCUUAGCUUGCCCUGGUGUGGUUUAUCAGGUUCUAUCCACCCUUCAUUCUCAAGGCUUCGCUCACUUACGGUGAUCAACCUCAGAUACAAUGAUGGACUCACCGGCAAAGUCCCGGAGUACUUUUCUGAACUAUCUUCCUUGACCAUUUUAGACAUAUCAGGAAGUCAAUUUGAAGGGCAAUUUCCAACAAAAAUAUUCCAGCUAAAAAGUUUGAGGACGCUUGAUUUGUCCUGGAACCCCAUGCUUUCUGUGAGAUUAACAUAUUUCCCAGCUGGAAACAAUUUGGAAGUACUAAAUCUAGAAGGGACCAAUUUGUCUUAUGACACGCCAUUGGGGCAAUCUCGAGUCUUUAAAGACAUUGGGGCUUAGCACGAUGGGAAUUGAUAAUGAACUCUUCUCUUUGAUAUCUGAGCUUCCAGCAUUGGAUUACCUGCGACUCACUGGAUCAGAUUUGGAGAACCCGGUAUUAUCUUGGGUCAGCAAUCUUACCCAAUUGACAAACCUGGUGCUUGAAGGUUAUGACUUCUCAAACUCGGUUCCCACUUGGAUCGGCAAAUUGACAAGGCUGGAAAUUUUGACAAUAUGGGAUUGCAGUUUCUCCGUGCCAAUACUGUACCAGAUUAGAAAUCUUACUAAAUUGGCAGCGCUGGAGUUCACUGGUUGCGACUUAUCUGAGCAAACAAUGCCAUCAUGGAUAGGCAAUCUUACAAAGUUGACUUCUUUGACCAUUGAAGAUUGCAGUUUAUCUGGGCCAAUACCCUCUACAAUUGGAAACCUGAUCCAACUUGAAGAGUUGGUGUUCUGGGAUACUAACAUCAGCGGUGAGACUAUGUCCCUGUUACUUUCUUUCUAGAUACCUCCUUUUAUUUUGCAACUGUAGACAGAUCAUACACCUACUAUAUGACACGCCAUGCAUACACCGUUAAAAAAAUAAUAAUGAAUUUAAGUGAAGAAGAAAAUUUAACACUACCAAAUCGACAGAGUGAUCUUCAGAAAACAAGAAAAAGGCUUUGGCUAGUAAUUUUCGGCAAUGUUGAGAAAAGAAAAACACUGAUAUUUUCACUUUGAGUCUAUGACCAAUUUCCAUAGUUUAGUAGUUUGGAAGGUUAGAUGCCUUUAACACUAGUACACACGAGUCACGACUCAGGUCCUCUUUUCCUUCUUUUUUCUGUAAAUAUAGUAUUGGUCCAUUUACAAAUAUACCAAGGAAUAUUAAUUUUUUUGGACAGGCCUUUUUUUAUUAUUUUGACCAGAUUUACAUGUAAAUGUUCUCUAACGAUAAAUCAACUUUAGAAUAUAUCAUUUGUAGAUCGAAACACUGGAUCUGUUAAAAUAUAUAUUGAAUAUGUUGUGUUAAAAUUGUUCGGCUUUCCCUGGUCUAAGGCCUCUUUGAAACAAAGGAACAACAAAAGGAAGGACUAGGUUUUUUGAGCAUGGUCUCUCUCCCUCUCUCUCUCUCAAACCUGAGCGUGGUCUGGAUUUUCUACUUGUUAUGAUUUGUGAAGGAAGAGGACCCUUUCUUGUGGAAUUGGAAUUGGAGGGUGCAUUCCAAAAUUCCAAAAUUCAAACGGUUCUUUCCUUUCCUCCAGAACGCAGUUACUUUUGUGUCCUUACCCCCUCAGUGUCGUGGCUUCUUUAGGCCAGUCUCAAUGCACAAUUUCAUUGCAAUGUUACAAAAAUUGCAAAUUUGGUAACUGUGCAGGUAGGGUUUCAUGAGGAUGAAACUCCUCUCUCAUUUCAUGAAACUCCAUCCUCUCUCUCCUCAUAAAGACCUUGACAAAUCAGCAAAAUUGCUGAUGUGGUAUAGAAAUUAAUGCUGACGAAACUUUUUAUAACACUUCCACUAAGACUGGCCUUAGAUUGCAGCAACAUUCGGAUAUGUCUAGCUCCAAUGUAAUGAGAUGCUAAUUUGUUUCAAUUUCAUACUAGCGCUUUUAGUGUGAAGAAGCAUUAAUAAAGUCUACAACAUUCUAACUGUUGGUAUUCUACCCUAACAUGCAGGAAAAAUUCCGAAGUCUUUGUUCGCUCUUCCAGUCCUGCAGCAGCUUCAUCUAGUUAGGAAUCAGCUUGUUGGCCCACUAGAAGACAUUCCUGCUCUUUUAUCGUCACCAAUGCGGGAGAUCGAUUUAGGAGGUAAUCAAUUGACAGGCCCAAUACCAAAAUCACUUUUUCAGCUCACGAAUCUUGAGCGUCUUCUUCUAGCUGAGAAUCAGCUUGUUGGUUCACUAGAAGACAUUCCUGCUCCUUUAUCAUCACCAUUGCGGGAGAUCGAUUUACAAGGUAAUCAAUUGACAGGUCCAAUACCAAAAUCACUUUUUCAGCUCACGAAUCUUGAGUAUCUCAAUCUUGGCUCGAAUAAAUUGACAGGCACAAUAGAACUUGGCUCUAUACGGAGGUUGAAAAAUCUCAUUAUUCUCGACCUGGGUAACAAUAUGAUAUCACUCGUAGAAAAAGAAGGUGAUACGAUAUUCUCUUAUUCCCUUAAAAUCCAGACCUUAUACCUUGCAUCUUGCAACCUUACAAAAUUUCCGGAACCAUUAAAAUAUCUUGACACUAUUCAAUAUCUCGACCUUUCCAAUAACCAAAUCGAAGGGGCCAUACCAAGUUGGGUGUGGGAGAAACCACUGCUUCAGUUGAACCUCUCACACAACAUGUUUACUACUUUAGAGAAGUCUCCUACUGUUCAGAUGACACAUUUAAAUUCUCUUGAUCUCAGUUCUAAUAGAAUUCAAGGAAGCAUACCAAUACCAUCAACUCCAUCCGACCUGAUUCUGUUGGAUUACUCAAAUAAUAACUUCUCUACCAUUGAACCGAACUUUGGCAGGUAUCUUACAAAUGCCCACUACAUCAAUUUGUCAAAAAAUAAAUUAAGUGGCCAUGUACCACUUUCAUUUUGUAGUUUAAGCCAACUUGAGCACAUGGACUUAUCUUACAAUAACUUUAGUGGACCAAUUCCAUCAUGUCUUAUGGAAAGAGUUGACCCGAGCAUACUGAAGUUAAGAGGAAACAAAUUACAUGGCGUGCUACCUGAAAAUAUUAGAGAAGGAUGUAAGCUUCAGACAAUUGAUUUCAAUGAAAAUCAAAUUGAAGGUGCGCUACCUAGAUCACUAGCAAAAUGCCAAGACUUAGAGGUUCUUGAUGUUGGCAGUAAUCAUAUUGUAGAUUCAUUUCCAUCAUGGAUGGGUACUCUUCCAAAUCUUCGAAUUCUUGUGUUGAGAUCUAACAAACUCUAUGGCACUAUAAGGGAUCUUCGCAGGGGCUACCAACACUUCACAAGUUUGCAAAUAGUUGAUUUGGCCUCCAACCAUUUCUCUGGUGACUUACAUUCCGAAUGGUUUGAGAAUUUUAUUUCAAUGAUGAAUAACAGCAAUGAUGAGGGGCAGAUAUUAGAGCACCAUCCAACUGGACCAAUGACACGAUUGUAUCAAGAUACUGUCACUAUCACCUUCAAAGAUGCUGCUUUAAGCAUCACCAAAAUCCUUCGUGCUUUCAAAGUAAUUGAUUUGUCAAAUAACUCAUUUGAGGGUUCCAUUCCAAGUUCAAUUGGAAGACUUGCUUCACUUCACGGACUUAACAUGUCGCACAAUAACUUCACGGGAGAAAUUCCAUCACAACUUGGGAAGUUAACAAGGUUGGAAUCAAUGGAUCUCUCUUGCAACCAUCUCUCGGGAGAAAUUCCACAGGAGUUUACCUCUCUAACUUCUCUUUCCGUGUUGAACCUUUCGUACAACAACUUGACAGGAAGAAUACCGCAGGGAAACCAAAUCUUGUCAUUUCCCAGCAGUUCGUUUGAAGGCAAUGCUGGCCUAUGUGGAAUUCAGCUUUCCAAGGAAUGUGACCCUCGUCCAGAUUCAACCACCCCAAGCACAUUGGCUCCAGAACACAAUGCUUUGUGGCAGGAUAGACUUGAUGCCAUCAUGUUGUUCCUCUGUGCUGGCUUGGGCUUUGGCGUGGGUUUUGCAUUGGCAAUCAUAUGCGGUCCCUUUUACCACAUAGAAGAAUGGCUUUGCAAGCAUUUGUAUUAGUAAUAUAAGUUUUCAACAAGAAUAAUUAUGUAUGUUUGUGCUGUACUCGUUAUUAGAUGAGACAUCUUAAAUCCACUCAGUUGUAAUUACGUUGUAACUAGUCCAUCAACCCGUACUUCCGCAUGGGCAAAUAUUUUUAAAAGCUGUUGUAUUUGAAAAUUAUUUAGAAAUUAAACUCCUAGCUAAUAAUCAAAAUUGUUUACUUAUUACUCUCACAUUUUUUCAAUACUUCAACAUAGUACUCAUAUAGAUGUGUACUCAUCUUUGUCUAGUUGUGAUUGAUUUUUAAUUAGUAAUUACUCUAUACACUUUUUCAUCCACAUUCACACCUUUCCAUUUUUUAUUGCACCUCCGUACAUUGUGUUUAGCAUCAAAAUUAAUAUUUUUCAUCACUUUAUCACAUACAUGUAUAAAUGGUCUACAUGGUAACACUCAUCAUGUCUAUAUACCUUAACUUAGUAUUUCUAUAUUAACAAUGACAUAAACUAGUAAUUUAGAAUCAUAUAUUAGUUUGUUUUUAGACAUUUCUAUAUGAUGCAUAUGCAUGAAGAUAAUUAGAUUAAGAAUUAGGUGUUUACUUUAGAUUAUUUUUAAAAAUGACAUACAUGAGUAACUUAGAUACAAAUUUAGAAUGGCAUUUUAAGUUAUGCUUUAUAAUUGUAGGCAUGGGUAAAUUGGAUGAAGAUUAUGGGGUUACUUUACAUUAUUUUUUUAUAAUGGUAGGGCUUGGUAAUUUAGAUAUAGGUUUGGGGUUUACAAUGACAGUGGUGGGUAACUUUUUAGAAAAUAUAAUAGACCAAUGACUAUGAUUAAUAUAGUUUGCAUGAUUGAUAUUUGAUAUUUAUGAUUUUUGUGAGAAGUAAUUGUGUUUUUUUAGCAUAUCUCUUAAGAACCAAUGCAGAGUCUCCAAUGGAAAAAAAUGAGGCCACAUUGCUAUAAAACUAUUACCUUGAGCUCCUUCUCAUUUGUUAAAUAUUCAAAAACAUACUUAUAUAGAUAUAUAAUUAUUAUCUUCACCCGAUUGCGAUAGAUUUUAGUUUGUAAUUUCUCUUUAACAUUUUCAUCCAUAUUUAUAAUCUUUAAUUUUUCACUUUGCAUUGCAAAUAUGCGCUUGAAUUUGUUUAAUGGAACCUAAGUUUGAGCUAACAUUUUAACAUAAAAAUUUAUAUUCCCAUCACUUUAAUUCUCUAUAUCUUUAUAAAUGGUGAAAGACAUCUUGCCUAUAUACCUUAAUUAUUAUAUGAUAUACCUAUAGUGUAAGAAAUAGAUGAUUUAGAAUCAUAUAUUGGUGUAUAUUUUGAAUUAAGGUUAUUUGGAUUCAAAUGUAGGGUUACCUCAUGUUAUUUUUAAUAAUAGCAUAUAUGGGUAAUAUAGAUGCAAAUUUAAAGGGUCAUGUUAAGUUAUUUUUUAAGUAUUAGUGGUGGGCAAUUAGUUGGUAAUUUAGGAGGUUAUUUUAAAUAUUAUUUAUAAUGGUACAUGUGGGUAAUUUUGAUAAAUAUUAGGGGUUAGUUUAGUUUAGUUUAUAUAAUAGCAUAUGGGUAAUUUAGAUGUAGAUUUAGGGGUUACUUUAGGCUAUUUUCAUAAUGGCAUAGGUGGAUAAUUUUUUUUAGAAAAACAUAAUAGAUCUAAUGGCUAUGAUGAGUUGAGUCUACAGAUUGAUGGCCAGAUGUUUUGCUUUUUUAUGAGAAUUUCUACGAUAAGAAAUGCAGCGGUGGUCCUCUCUAUAAAAUUUGCAUGGGUCUUAAAGCAGACAAACUUAUUAAUUAAAUAUUUUUUAGUUAUCUUUAUUCUGGGUCUCUUCUAGGCCAGCCCAGUCCAUGUCCAGAUGAGUCUGUUUCCUCCCGAUCCGUUUUAGUCCCUCUGAACGGCGGCUCAUGUUCCUCGCGAAAAGAACGGAGCAACGAUGGCUUGCGGCGGCGCUCCAUGGCAGUGGCACAUCAUAAAGGCGGUGGAAGCAUCCAACAUGUGGUUGGACUGAAACAUUUUCAUGAUUAUUCCUUCUGUGAAGUUAGUCACCUUGCAAUGUGCAAGCUAGAAACAAUAUCAUUGCAAGCAUAAUAAGGUACAACAUCUGCAAUGUUUCUCAUGAAUGUGUGGAAUGGCCUCCGGACACGACGUCCGCAAAACGGUCAGGAAUAAUGAACCAAGUAGCAAUUAAUGUGCAGGCGCCGUAUGUAGAGCAGGUUGGGAUUUGGGAAGUCCGGUGUCACUGCAGUCCACCUCGUCCGGUAGCACGAUUACACCUGCCUGACGAGGAGAUGGUACCGCUACAUGUGCUAAGGACGUCGAGUUGUCGAGGUCCCAGCUAGACGCGCGACUCUCUCUUGGUGCAGCCGUUUCCCUCUCCGGGCAGUGGCGAUCUCACUCACCGGCGCAGCUCCGUGCAGCCGCUACAUGUGCACCUCCAUUAUUGAUUAUGUCGGCCACUGAUAUUCUCUUUAUCCAAUCCAAUCAAAUCCAAUCGUAUUGGCUGGGUAGGAGUGGGCGAGGCGAGGCAAGGCCCAAGAUUAUCCCACUGCUAAAAAAAUUAAGAAAUAAACUAAUCUUGUUGCUUUGAAACGCGUGCUAAUUUUUAGAAAGGGACCACCAGAGCAUUUCUCUUCUAUGAUUUCUCUCUUUUUCUAAGUGUCCACUUAGGAUUCUAGGUAGUUUCACCUGAAGGCUUCAGAAGGAGUCUCUAAUUAGUAAUAUUUACUGAAUUUCAUAAGGCCCCGUUUGGAUCAUUGGAAUUGAAUUCCAUCAUAAUAAUCAUAAUUUAGACACAAAUUAAUUAAGCUAAUAUAAUUGUAUGUGAAAUAUAGUUGUAUAUUAUAGUUGGUGAUAUGGGAGAGAUACUUAUGUGCUGCACUUCUACCAUAGAGAAGCGAGUCUAAGAGCGUGCUAUAAGAAUUGAAUUCCAUUCUAAUAACCAUAAUCUAUAGAAUCAAUUUCCAUCUCCCACCCCAUGAAUUUAAGAUAAGCUUAUAUAUAAACUUUGGAAAGUUGUGGAAUGCCACAUUCCAACAUAAAUUAGCCUACUCCAUUAAAUAGAUUCCAAUUCCUUCAUACCAAACGGGGCCUAAGUGAUUUUCAAAGAGAGUUUUUUUUUGACAGCACUCCAAGUCUCCAACUUGAUAUCAACUGAAACUGAAAGCCGGCCAAGGUGCUGGUUGUAUCUGAGUACCACUAUCCAGAAUCUCCACUUGUAUUGGCGGUGGCCAUGGAUGCUUCAGAAGCUCACCAUCUCUACUUGGCUGAAUGGCGUCCACAAUAUUGGCCUUAGAUCAUCUGCACUGUGCAAUGCAUGUUACCGGCAUUACCCUGAACACCUUGAGGGCAUUGUAGACACCAGUGCCAAUACACAGCAGAAACAUGUCAUCUGUUAGAGCCGGGCUCUCGCUGGUGAUUUGGAAGUCGCAGACGUUGUUGCUGUUGAUUGUGGUGAACAAAGUUAGGGUGGUGGCUAGAGCACUCGCGGUCGGUGGAACACAAGCAUUGUGGAUAUGACUGGGCAUUGAACAUCUGGUGGGCGUCACGGAUUAGCACUCCGUAGUGGUGAUAGAGAUGGCUAGGGUGGCAUCCUGGUCAGAGUAGAGGUGGAUGUAGAGGGAAGUGCCGAGGAUGCGGUCUUGGACACCAGAAUGCAGGUGUCAUGGUAAAGGGAAGUCUUUGGACACCUUGUGGGCGCCAUCUCUAGAACCUCGGUGGCCCUGACAGAACGAUGCGGAAAGCUGUUGGUUAUGCCGAGGUCAUGGCUGUAGGCACUUGAAAGCAGGUGGCCUGGUUAGGACCCGCCAUCGAACACCUGGUGGGCGCCACUGGUUGAAGCUCCGUGGCCGUGAUGAGAAUGACAACAGAGGCAUCCCGUGGUGGAAAGGAGGUCAGUGAAGGGGGGUUGAAGAUGCCGGUGGCUCAGCACGGUGGCACAACUGAGCAUUCCUUUCCUCGAUCUUCCGAUUCAUGUCAUCACACUUCUGAUCUAGUUCCUCGAGCUUGGCCAGUAUCACAGCACACAUCUCCUCCGUCAUGUUCACUCGUAUUCCGAUGCAGUGGUAGUGGUGGUUUUUGAUCGAAAUAGCUGUGAACCAAAUGUCACACCCUAGAUGCAACUCACAGAACAAAUUAUCUCCCAACAAUGAACUACGGAAUAUAUAUGGAGUAUACUAGAAUUUGGAUACACAUGGAUGAGGAACUCGCUAGUGUUCUCGAGUCGAAGCUUGCCGCCGCAGAGCCAAUGAGUCCCAAAUCCAGUUCUUCUUUCCCUCAUGACGACUAUUUUAUCCUCUUACAUGCUGCGCCAGCUAUGCUGCAGCGAUACCCGUUCAUGGGCCUAUCUUAACUACCUUAGCCAUCGGGCCCAACAAGAAUAACGUUGGGCUUCCGAACCUGAUGGCCCACAACUUCAGCUUUACUUCACUUAAGAUAGUUGCUAGUUAGUACUCCCUCCGUCCCAAAUUAUAGGUCGUUUUGACUUUAUUAGAUUCAUAGACUUUGUUAUGCACUUAGAUAUCUAGAUGCAUAAUAAUAUCUAUGUAUCUAGAAAAGUCAAAACGAUCUAUAAUUUGGAACGGAGGGAGUACAUGUCUUAUCUACAACCCUGCAUUAGCUAUCUCACUCUAGUUUGGCUAGCUGUCAGGACAGUCUGCUUACUCGAAGCUUGAGGCAUGUUUCUUUAAUAUAGUUUUCUUUUUCUUCUUGGAUAUUUAUAGCACAUAAUUGAUCCUGUGAAGUACUGCUAUAGAGAGGAAGACUAGUUCUUCUUAUUUAACAUCUCUUUGUGUUCUGCAUAUGCAUGAAAAGAAGGGCAUAGCUAGGUGAAAUGUUCUUUUGUUGGCUGUAUAAGACUUCAUUUUUUUAAUUUAUUUUUUUUAAACUUUUAGAUCAAUCGUUUGAAUUCUCUUCAAUAUUUUCUUGCUUCAUGUUCUCUUUGUUUUUGUGCAACAGUAUGAUAUUGGAAUAGGAAUGCUGCAAGACAAUCCAAAUAGAAGGUUAGUUUCAUCAUAUUUAUAUGGUUAAAAUUACUUCAAAAUUAUAUGGUUAAAGUUACUAUGUAAUGGUUGACUGUCACUGUUGUUUGCAUUGGCAGAUCAUGGAUGGAAUUCCUGCAAGAGCCAAGCACAAACUGUAUUCAGCGCUUCUCUGUUGAUGUUUCGUUUCUCGUUGCCGCCUUUCUUGCAGACCGGUUAGGGUUAGGUUACACCAUCUGCUUCAGGUGAUUUCGGGAAUGUGGAAUGUCUCCUCUUCAUUUGAGAAGAGAGAAAGAGUGUUUUGUUGGAAUAUUACUGGUGCGUAUGUUUAUGCAUGGCUUUUCAGGCUCAAAUCAAGGGGAAAAAAUAGACUAAUGGGCUGGUAAAUUUAUGUUCUGGUGGAUUUUCUCUAUGGCUUUAUUUAGUUCCAAGAAUCCUGGUGAACUCCGAAACUUAAAAUGAAAUCCUAAAAUUGUUUCUCUAACCUCCUAAAAUGGGCUGUUCUUUUUUUCUGGUCAACUAUUUCCCCCAACUUCCGGAACUUAAAAUGAAAUCCUAAAAUUUCUCGGCCUCUCUUGUUUCAGGUCAUCAGGCCCAACCGAGGCCUCUUCUCUCCUUUCGUCAUUCGGUCCCUCUAAUUUUGCUCUUCUGCUUGCGCACCAGGCGUCAUCGCUCACCGCGCCAGGAGCUUUUGCAGCGCCAGACGGCCCUGCUCUACACCACAGUAUUCUUCCUUGGAACCUGCGGGCUCCGGUGAGCCGCUUUGGGAUCUCCUAUUCGCGACUCUGGGUACCUCGCCGGGUUACAGUUGCCUUCAUUGUACUUCGUCAUUGCUCUCUAACUAGGUACUCGAUUAUGAACAGCGCGCCGGCUCAGUGAGUACUCGGUGAAGGCGAGCGCAACGAGCCCCAACACAUGUCAUCCGUCGAAAACUACAUAAUUUCCAGAGUAUGGAAUUUUCAGCGCGCGGUGUGACCAACACUAUCUUUAUAUGAUUAUAGCUGCAAACCAAGUUUUUAAGUAACAAAGCAAAUAAAACAGUCUCGUGUCAUUGCUCUAAAGGGGAGAAAGGAAGAACAGAAACAACGAUGUGCCAUUCCCCAGAAACAAAGAAACAACUGUAAAAAGUGGUUCUAGAUGAAGCUAAAUUGACCAUCGAUGGCGAUUGUGUCGACACGGCAAACAUCCAGACAGCUAGCAUUGACUGACUUGGCCUGUUGAGUACUCGAGGGAACUCGAUAGGUCUUAUGACAAGCCUCGAUUGACUCGAAUUAUUGACCUUCACUGUCCUUCGUCAUUGCUUUCUAACCUAGGUACUCGGUUAUGAACAGCGCGCCGGCUUGGGUACUCGGUGAAGGCGAGCGCAACGAGCCCCAGCACAUGGCAUCCAUGGAAAACUACAGAAUUUUCAGAGUAUGGAAUUUUCAGCGUGCGGUGUGGCCAACACUAUCUUUAUAUGAUUAUAUCUGCAAACCGAUUUUUUAAGUAACAAUGUCAAUAAAACACUCUCGUGUCAUUGCUCUAAAGGAGGAGAAAGGAAUAACAGAAACAACGCCGUGGCAUUCCCCAGAAGCAAAGAACAACGGGAAAACCACACCAUGAGAGAUGUCGUCUUGAACACUCUUGAUUGUGUUGACACGGCAAACAUCCAGACAGCUAGCAUUGACUGACUUGGCUGAUACAUCCACUUCACUGUUGAGUACUCCAGGGAACUCAAUAGGUCUUAUGACAAGUCUCGAUUGACUCGAGUUAUUCACUCAUACCUUGAUUUUUUCCUCCCCUUUCCUGUUGUCGUUCGGUCCAGAUGCCCAUUACCCAGUGCCUGUCAGUGUGUGCUUCUCCCUCCGAUUGCCCAUUACCUAACAAAUUGUAGUUUGCACCGUAAUUCCCUUAAAUCUGCUCCAACCAAGCACCACCUCUCAUGCAAGUCAACAUAUAUGGCAUUUGGUAUCAAUUCUGUAAAUACAAUUUCAAUCAUUCGCUGGUUAUAUUUUUAAAUGAAUUUAAUAUAAAUUUUGAUUAUCUAUUGCUUCUAAAUUCCUGUCGAAAUUAAUUUGAUAUUUUAUUAACCUAUAAUAUCCUAUACUUCAUUUUAUGAGGAAUCUAUCAGAAAAUGAAUUGUAAUUUUUAUGGCUCAUAUCUAUUUGCUCUCUUUAUUAGAUAUUUUUCUUUCCAGUUGUAUGUAAAUCAAACUUUUAUUUUAUUUUUAUCAUUCGGAGUUUUAGUUUUUUAUUACUUCCAUGUCAAGAUAAUAUUUUGAACAAGAUUCCAAUCAACCUUUUGAAAAUCUAACCACUAUAGACAGCUUUUAGAAUAUUCAGUUUGAAAAUUUAGAAUACUCAUUGAAAGACAUAAUAUAAUAUUUUGUAUGUUUAUAUAAUAUCUUCUUACUGAAAAUAGUGGCCACACAGCUAUGUUAUCCAAAACACCUUCUUUUCUUUAAGAACAGGGGAACGAUUGUUUCUUUUUCUAUUUUAUUAAUAUGAUAUUUUUAUAGUCAAUACGGAGACUUGUUUUCUCUUAGCUUUGCCUUAUUAAAAUAACAAUUGAAGAUUCCGUAACUAUGGUUGGGGGCAGAUAUUACUUCCAUGCGAGUUUAUAUUUUGGCCCCUGUUCGCUGGUCUUCCUCUCGAGUCAGCGGCCGGAAUGUGUGGUUCAGAGCAACCAGAGAACAGAAUAUCUACACACGAUUGAUUGGAAUUUGGAAACUGCAAACCAGUAGCGCAAUGGCUCCUGCCAAGGAUCGCCUCCACAACCUUCUGGUCCUGCUCUUGUUCAUAGGUUGCCUCUUCGUAGAUGCUGCCGCCAAGCUUAACACCACAGCGCCUUGCCUCCCGGAUCAAGCUUCUUCCCUCCUCCGGCUAAAAGCUUCCUUCAUCGGUGACAACCUACCAUCAUGGCAAGCUGCAACAGAUUGUUGCCACUGGGAGGGCGUCACCUGCGACAUGGCCUUUGGAAGAGUCAUUUCUCUUGACCUCAGUGAGUUCCAACUAAUGAGCAGGCGUCUUGAUCCUGCGCUCUUCAACCUCACCUCUCUCAGGUACCUCAGCCUUGCAUUUGUUGACUUCAGUGGAGUCUCGCUCCCGGCAUCUGGGUUUGAGCGGCUCACAGAUAUCAUUAACCUCGACCUCUCUUAUACCCGUUUUACGGGUAAGAUCCCAAUUGGAAUUGCGUGCCUCAAGAACCUUGUGAUCAUUCACUUGCUUGAUAAUUACGAAUUGUAUUUUGAACGGCCAAGUUUCCAAACCAUCAUGGCAAAUAUGAGCAAUCUGAGGGAGCUUUAUCUUGAUGGAGUGGAUUUACAUAACAUCGGAUCGGAUUGGUCCACUGUUUUAGCAGACUCCGUUCCCCAGCUACAGAUUCUUAGCUUGUCCGGGUGUCGUAUAUCAGGUUCUAUCCACCCUUCAUUCUCAAGUUUGAGGACGCUUGAUUUGUCCUGGAACCCCAUGCUUUCUGUGAGAUUAACAUAUUUCCCAGCUGGAAACAAUUUGGAAGUACUAAAUCUAGAAGGGACCAAUUUCUCUUAUGACACCCCAUCCUCGUUUGCCAAUCUUGAGUCUUUAAAGACAUUGAGGCUUAGCACGAUGGGAAUUGAUAAUGAACUCGCCUCUUUGAUAUCUGAGCUUCCAGCAUUGGAUGACCUGCGACUCAUUGGAUCAAAUUUGGAGAAACCGGUAUUAUCUUGGGUCAGCAAUCUUACCCAAUUGACAGUCCUGCGGCUUUAUGGUUAUGACUUCUCUAAAUCGGUUCCCACUUGGAUCGGCAAAUUGACAAGGCUGGAAAGUUUGAUGAUAUGGUAUUGCAGUUUCUCCGUGCCAAUACCAUACCAGAUUAGAAAUCUUACUAAAUUGGCAGCGCUGGACUUCUCAAGAUGCGACUUCGAGCAAAGAAUGCCAUCAUGGAUAGGCAAUCUUACAGAGUUGACUUCUUUGACCAUUGAUGAUUGCAGUUUAUCUGGGCCAAUACCCUCAACAAUUGGGAACCUGAUCCAACUUGAAUACUUGGAGUUCUGCGAUACUAACAUCAGCGGUGAGACUAUGUCCCAGUUACUUUCUUGAAUACCUCCUUUUAUUUUGCAACUGUAGACAGAUCAUACACCUACUGUAUGACACGCCAUGCAUACACCGUUAAAAAAAUAAUAAUGAAUUUAAGUGAAGAAGAAAAUUUAACACUACCAAAUCAACAGAGUGACCUUCAGAAAACAAGAAAAAGGCUUUGGCUAGUAAUUUUCGGCAAUGUUGAGAAAAGAAAAACCCUGAUAUUUUCACUUUGAGUCUAUGACCAAAUUUCCAUAGUUUAGUAGUUUGGAAGGUUAGAUGCCUUUAACACUAGUACACACGAGUCACGACUCAGGUCUUCUUUUCCUUCUUUUUUUCUCUCUUGACAUGAUACAUUCAGAUACCAUAAUACAGUAUUGGUCCAUUUACAAAUAUACCAAGGAAUAUUAAUUUUUUGGGACAGGCCUUUUUAUUAUUUUG